UACAGGGGGUGCAAACGUUGCUCGGAAUCAUUGGGCGUAAAGCGCACGUAGGCGGUCUGUUAUGUCGGAUGUGAAAGCCCUCGGCUCAACUGAGGAAGUGCAUCCGAAACUGGCAGGCUAGAGUACUAAAGAGGGUCGCGGAAUUCCCGGUGUAGAGGUGAAAUUCGUAGAUAUCGGGAGGAACACCGGUGGCGAAGGCGGCGACCUGGGUAGAUACUGACGCUGAGGAGCGAAAGCCAGGGGAGCAAACGGG
This 253-nucleotide ribosomal RNA is filed under the name uncultured bacterium. RNAcentral describes it as "partial 16S ribosomal RNA". It matches the Rfam family "Bacterial small subunit ribosomal RNA", at positions 524 to 776 of the family's 1533-position model. The record is from RNAcentral.